GAUGAACGCUAGCUACAGGCUUAACACAUGCAAGUCGAGGGGAAACGAUGAGAGAGCUUGCUCUCUUAGUCGUCGACCGGCGCACGGGUGAGUAACGCGUAUCCAACCUGCCUCUGACCAAGGGAUAACCCGUCGAAAGUCGGACUAAUACCUUAUGCAGUCGUCGGAAGUCAUCUGAUGACGACGAAAGAUUUCAUCGGUGAGAGAUGGGGAUGCGUCUGAUUAGCUUGUUGGCGGGGUAACGGCCCACCAAGGCGACGAUCAGUAGGGGUUCUGAGAGGAAGGUCCCCCACAUUGGAACUGAGACACGGUCCAAACUCCUACGGGAGGCAGCAGUGAGGAAUAUUGGUCAAUGGGCGUAAGCCUGAACCAGCCAAGUAGCGUGCAGGAUGACGGCCCUAUGGGUUGUAAACUGCUUUUAUGCGGGGAUAAAGUGAGGGACGUGUCCUUCAUUGCAGGUACCGCAUGAAAAAGGACCGGCUAAUUCCGUG
RNAcentral lists this ribosomal RNA (491 nucleotides) under uncultured bacterium. RNAcentral's name for it is "partial 16S ribosomal RNA". It matches the Rfam family "Bacterial small subunit ribosomal RNA", at positions 28 to 507 of the family's 1533-position model. The record is from RNAcentral.